RNAcentral lists this ribosomal RNA (194 nucleotides) under uncultured Enterobacteriaceae bacterium. Its description in RNAcentral is "partial 16S ribosomal RNA". It matches the Rfam family "Bacterial small subunit ribosomal RNA", at positions 338 to 524 of the family's 1533-position model. Lineage: Bacteria; Pseudomonadati; Pseudomonadota; Gammaproteobacteria; Enterobacterales; Enterobacteriaceae. The record is from RNAcentral.
CCUACGGGAGGCAGCAGUGGGGAAUAUUGCACAAUGGGCGCAAGCCUGAUGCAGCCAUGCCGCGUGUGUGAAGAAGGCCUUAGGGUUGUAAAGCACUUUCAGCGAGGAGGAAGGGUUCAGUGUUAAUAGCACUGUGCAUUGACGUUACUCGCAGAAGAAGCACCGGCUAACUCCGUGCCAGCAGCCGCGGUAAU